This 973-nucleotide long non-coding RNA is filed under the name Dasypus novemcinctus (nine-banded armadillo). Its description in RNAcentral is "lncRNA (ENSDNOG00000050738.1)". Lineage: Eukaryota; Metazoa; Chordata; Mammalia; Cingulata; Dasypodidae. The record is from RNAcentral.
CCGGGGCUGCGGGCGGGCGGCGACGCGCACCGGGAGCGAGGAGCGCCCUGAGCGCGGCCGGCGGGGGAGGGCGCUGAGCCGCGGCGGCCUCGGCGAGGCGAGUGCUGAGGAGCGGGCGAGGACCUCCUGCCCUUCCCGGGGCUGUGCGAGGCGUUCUCCACCUUCUCCGAGGCAGGAUUUUUCUUGGAGAGAAUUCCGGUACAGACGAGAGAAAGGGAAACACCAUACCCAAUACCGGCAUGAAUAUGCAAAAUUUGUGGACCUUCCAAUUGGACAAUCAAACCACAGAUACAUCGCUCCCAGAUCAGUCAGCUAGCCUGACAAGGAGGAGACAUUCUCUGCCUCAGUCCUAUGAGUACACCUGCAAAGCAGUCUCUGACCUGAGAUCCAUCUGCAAAGUUAAGCAGGAAAUAUACAUGGAAUAGCAAGUAUUCAAGAGCAUGAUGAAGUUGCUGGUCCUACAACCUGAAACCACUGACACAGGAACCUGAAACUGAGACAGGUUGGUACAGGGAAUCGAGGAGAAGAGGAGCCACAACAUGGCCAACAGACAACAUGGCUGACAGACAACAUGGCCAACAGACAACAUGGCCGACAGACAACAUGGAUGACAGACAACAUGGCUGCAAAACGUCACUGAGAUCUUGACCUUGAUGUUCCAGUUGGGCCAAGGAGAGGGCUACAGAUAAUUCCAAACAGGUCUCCCCAUUGGUCCCAGAACUUACCACAUGAAAGGUCUAACCUUUGGCCCCACCACUGGUGUGGUAAGCGAUAACAGCUGGGGUCCCUCCCCUUAGCAUUAGCAAGGGGAGAAAGUAAUUAAUAGUUCAGUCAAGGUAACUGUGCAAGCCAAAUCAUUCUCUCUGCCUAGAGGAGCCUGCAUCAAAUAUGUGUAUUUCCAUCCUUCUCUCCCAUUUCUCAGCAAGCUCUGUUCUUUCCCCCCAUUUCCCAAUAAAUUCUUUUUACUGGUCUA